GAAAAACAAAGUCCGGGCCCGGAUGGUUUUAACAUUGAAUUUUAUCAACACUAUUGGGACCUAGUCAAAGAUGAUUUAUUUGCGAUGUUGGAGGAAUUUUAUGAACAUGAUUUAGACCUAGACAGGUUAAAUUAUGGAAUAAUCUCCCUCAUACCAAAAGGAAGUGAUGCAGAUAGAACUAAGAAGUACAGACUCAUAUGUUUGCUAAAUGUGAUAUUUAAAAAUUUCACUAAAAUUUUGGUGAGUAGACUUAUAAAGUGUUGGGGAACGUUGCAGAAAAUUAAAAUUUUUCCUACGGUUUCACCAAGAUCCAUCUAUGAGUUCAUCUAA
RNAcentral lists this ribosomal RNA (330 nucleotides) under Triticum aestivum (bread wheat). RNAcentral's name for it is "partial small subunit ribosomal RNA". The record is from RNAcentral. Lineage: Eukaryota; Viridiplantae; Streptophyta; Magnoliopsida; Poales; Poaceae.